Molecule: non-coding RNA, 1214 nt
Organism: Vicugna pacos (alpaca)
Lineage: Eukaryota; Metazoa; Chordata; Mammalia; Artiodactyla; Camelidae
Source: RefSeq, a predicted model, not a curated record
ACCUCCUUAGUAUCCUUGUCCCAAACAGCACGUCCAUUGCAGAGCCAGUAGGAGGAGUCAACGGGCGACAGUUAGAACAGCGUCUGGCACGUCACAGGCGCUUGUCAGUGGUGCUCUUAUUGUUACUGUGUUUGUCACCGGAGCUCCCAGUGGCAGUGUCGGGACUGAAACCCAGCUCCAGGCCUUUGUCCACAUUGUUCCUUCAGCCUGAAAUGCCCUUCCCACUUCUCUGGCUAACUCCUGCUCCAAUCAAGCAGAGGCCAAGCUUUUCUGACUGCUCCAGGUCGACCCUGUGGCCUUUCCCCUGUGGGGCGCCUACACUCCAACGCAAUGCCUGGUGGCACUGGCUCAUGUGUCUGCCUCCCCCACAGACCAGCUUUCCUGAAGGCGGGACUUGGUCAUUCACAUCUUAUCUGUGGCUCUCAACACAGAACCUGGCACAUAAAUGGGAUCAUUAUUCUUAUUCAUAUUGUUUUCAUGAAGCUAAAGGAGGAGGAGGUCUUGUCCUAUCAGAAAUGAAAAUACACUAUAAAGAUGUAACUGUCAAAACAGUGAGCUACUGACACAGCCGUCAACAGAAAGAUCAAUGCAGUGGAGCCUGUAGCGUGGAGACGGAACCUGGGACAUCUAAGUAUUUUGUAUUUGAUAGACGUUGCUGCACAAAUCAGUAAAUAAAGAAAGACUCAUUCUAGAGAACUGCACAGCUGACCAACUAUUCAGAAUGCUAAAAGCUAGAGCCUUAUGUACACUAUGUUCCAAAAUAAAUCCCAGAUGGGUUAAAGAAACAAAUAAUUUUUAAAAUGAAGCCUUAAAAAGCUAGAAGAAAAUAUAGGUUAAUAUUUCAUCAGCUCUUAGAAUAUGGAAGGACUCUCUAAGAACAAAAUGAGUAAUUUUAAAAAAUCAAUAGAUUUUACUUCAUUAAAAAUAAGAAUUUCCUAAGUGCAACUUGGUAUCCUGGAAUUAGAUUCUGGGACAGAAAAGGAUACUAGUGGAAAACCUGGUGAAAUCCAAUGAAGCAAUUUAGUUAAUAGCCUUGUACUGAUUUAAUGUCUUAAAUUUGACAAAUGUGCUUGAUGUAAGUUACUAACAUCAGGCGAAGCUGGGGACUCUAUGCAACUUUUCUGUAAACCUAAAAUUACACCAAAAUAAAAAGGUAAAAAAAAUUAAGAUACUCGCUAAGACAGAUUAUAAUACAAAUAAAAUAAUAAAGCAAA